RNAcentral lists this ribosomal RNA (279 nucleotides) under uncultured bacterium. Its description in RNAcentral is "partial 16S ribosomal RNA". It matches the Rfam family "Bacterial small subunit ribosomal RNA", at positions 506 to 784 of the family's 1533-position model. The record is from RNAcentral.
UGCCAGCCGCCGCGGUAAUACUGAAGGUGCAAGCGUUAAUCGGAAUCACUGGGCGUAAAGCGCCCGUAGGUGGCUUUGUAAGUCAGAUGUGAAAGCCCACGGCUCAACCGUGGAAUUGCAUUUGAAACUGUAAACCUAGAAUAUGGGAGAGGUAGAUGGAAUUUCUGGUGUAGGGGUAAAUUCCGUAGAGAUCAGAAGGAAUACCGAUUGCGAAGGCGAUCUACUGGGACGUUAUUGACGCUGAGACGCGAAAGCGUGGGGAGCAAACAGGAUUAGAUA